This 255-nucleotide ribosomal RNA is filed under the name uncultured bacterium. RNAcentral's name for it is "partial 16S ribosomal RNA". It matches the Rfam family "Bacterial small subunit ribosomal RNA", at positions 524 to 776 of the family's 1533-position model. The record is from RNAcentral.
UACAGAGGAGCCAAGCGUUGUCCGGAUUGACUGGGCGUAAAGCGCACGCAGGCGGAUGCGCGCGUGGGGUGUGAAAUCUGGCCGCUUAACGGCCAGGCGCCAUCCCAUACGGCGCGUCUGGAGUGAUGCAGAGGUCGAUGGAAUUGCCGGUGUAGUGGUGAAAUGCGUAGAGAUCCGGAAGAACACCGGUGGCGAAGGCGGCCUGCUGGGCAGUUUAGCUGACACUGAGGCGCGACAGCGUGGGGAGCAAACAGG